This is a long non-coding RNA of Pygocentrus nattereri (red-bellied piranha), 2562 nucleotides long. The record is from Ensembl. NCBI's taxonomy places the organism in Eukaryota, Metazoa, Chordata, Actinopteri, Characiformes, Serrasalmidae.
GAAGAGGGGGAGCGGUGUAGUUUCAGAAUGGAGGCAGUGGAUAAUAUGCGAUGCAAAUAUUAUAAGACGUAUUGAGACUAAUUCCCUUCUGCAAGUAUGCUCUUCCACCAUACUGGUAAGACAGCGGUCAACAAACAAACUCAUCCACACUGAUUCGUGUUGGCCUGUAUAGACCACUGUAGUCACGUGUUACACCCAUAUUAGGAACUCCGGGUCUUAACCAUGAAAGGGGUUUUGGAAAAAUCGCACCAUGUGUUAAACAAAAAUGUUCAAAACCCGAUUUUUUUCUGUGUACGGUUUUCUCCCGAGUAUCAGCGAAGCAUCUGGAUAGCGAUGUCGUUAAAUAGCCUUAAUACUGAUAGCGUUUGUUUUGUGCUCUUAUUUUGAUAGCACGUCCUGUAAUCGACCACGAAAACUGUCCUAGUUGCAGUCUUCACGCAGCUUGAACGGAGAGAGAGAGAGAAGUUGGUCAGUUCUUAAAGGUGGUAUAAAUAAGCGACCGCUGAGUAUGUCCGGUGAUGCUGUGAAAUGGAAUAAGCGCGCAUCCAUGCUGUAUGCAGUGGGAAUAUGGACCAUGCUCGGGACCUAUGGAUAUUAUAGAUAUCAACACAGAAAUGACCCGCCAGUUGAAAUGCCUAAAGAAGAGGAAGACACAAGACCGAACGUAAAAACAAUCAAAACAUCACAUGUGUCGACGACAAUAGUCUACAAAGAAGAUUUUGUGCCAUAUUCCACAAGAUUUCUGAACCUUUUCAGACCCACAACUAACAGCUCUUCAGGGUGUGAAGAUGAUGAAAAAUGAAGAGGAAGCUUGAUUUGUAAAGGCUGUGGAUUAAUAAAAAUGGACGGUGGCUCUCGUUCCACACAUUCUACAACAUAAAAUUCUUAGAGGAGGAAUGCGUUGCAUUUGCCUAUUUGCUUGCACAGUUUCAGAAAUGUCAGUGGCUGUUUUUAAUUGUCUUAAAAUAAUUGUUUUUUUUCCCCCAGUGUUGUUUUUUCUAUCACCAAUAUUCAAACGUUUUGUUGCUUUUGUUUUUUUUUUCUUUUCUAAGCAUUUUGCAAGAGGAGGUUUGAUAUAACUUGACAUUUGUGGUAUGUGAUAUUUCCAUAUGUUAGAAAUAGUGCAUAGUGCAUCUGUUGCCAUUAUCUCAGUACUUAGUGCCAAAAGCAUUAUUAUUGUGACCUACCUGUGUGUGCAAAGUAGCUCCAGGACUCUGGCCAAUGUCUGUGUGUGGAAAAAAAAACUUUCUUAAAGUUUAAUGAGGCCUUCUGUGGAAAAAGUGUCACUUAUCUCAAAACCUGUUGAAUAACUAUGAGAGGAUAUACUGUAUGUGUCUGCCAGGUGAUUUACAUAUUGUUCCAAAGACACACACAAACAACAUACAGCAACUUGCAGAAUUACUGGAACCUUCAGGGGGGCAAAAGGGUUUUACUUAGAAGCUUGAGCUCACAUUGAAAAUGAAAAUUGUAAGAGUGAAGGUCACAAAGACUGCUCAACUAUCUAGUGUUUCAAUAAAACGUCUGACUGAAGUGACCUCUGUGUUUAAGUCAAUAGGAAAGACAUCCAUAAAUAGGUCACUAGGACACCGGACCCCCCACUGUAGUGUUCAAGCAAUCAGGCCUAUGUCUUGAUGUCCUGUACAUGGUGCACUAAUGCAUAAGCAUCACUGUCACCAAAUGCACACUUUCAAAAACACUUUCUUACAUGUGUUAUGCUGUCAGGGGCUUUUGUCUACUUGGCGGGAAGGUUCAGUUACAAGUUAUUCAGAUGGAUCACUUUUAUUCUAGGAUGAAACGUUUCACUCCUGAUGGUAGUGGGUUCUUCUUCCAGUGCCCUCCAUUCACAGGUCGUAAGGGGUCAUUUCACAAAAUGGUUGGGUAAGUAUGAAAAUGAUUCAUCCAUAUGAUAUGGUGUUUAACCCUACACAUGGGUGGUUGGUUAGUGUAGUGGGUAACAGCUCUGCCUUCUACGCUGUAGACUAGGGUUCAAUCCCCCGCCUGGGUCAGCCCCCUACACUGCACCAAUUAGAGUCCUUGGGCAAGACUCCUAACACCGCCUUCGCCUACCUGUGUAAAAUGAUCAAAUUGUAAGUCGCUCUGGAUAAGAGCGCCAGCCAAAUGCUGUAAAUGUAAAAACACUUUAGGCUUAAAUGAAAAUUGUGUGUUUUUAUAUUGGCAGUUGAGUAAGAUUACUUAAUAAUUUGACACCUGAUCUCUGCUUAGUUGAGCACCUGUGGGAGAUUUUAGACUGUGAUCACCACCACUAUCUUUUGGAAGAAUGGCCUGUUGCAGAAAUCUGCCAAGUGUGCGCGCUGGAGCUGUUCUGGCUGCUAGUGGUUGGGUCAGCUUUGUUCAGUAAAGCUUUACUGGCAUCACAAUGUCCUGCAGGUAGUCUUAGAAACAAGUAGCACUGGCCCUCCGGAUCACGGAAGCACGUUUUAGAACAUGUUAUAUGAGGAAAUAUGUGGACGGCAUGGGGUGCGGGCCUAAUCUUGUAGUGCUGACGUUUAUGUGACGUCGGUACUGAAGGCUGUGAAACCGGAAGUUCAAAUGUUCCCCGGG